AUUGAACGCUGGCGGCAGGCCUAACACAUGCAAGUCGAACGGUAACAGGAAACAGCUUGCUGUUUCGCUGACGAGUGGCGGACGGGUGAGUAAUGUCUGGGAAACUGCCUGAUGGAGGGGGAUAACUACUGGAAACGGUAGCUAAUACCGCAUAACGUCGCAAGACCAAAGAGGGGGACCCUCGGGCCUCUUGCCAUCGGAUGUGCCCAGAUGGGAUUAGCUUGUUGGUGGGGUAACGGCUCACCAAGGCGACGAUCCCUAGCUGGUCUGAGAGGAUGACCAGCCACACUGGAACUGAGACACGGUCCAGACUCCUACGGGAGGCAGCAGUGGAGAAUAUUGCACAAUGGGCGCAAGCCUGAUGCAGCCAUGCCGCGUGUAUGAAGAAGGCCUUCGGGUUGUAAAGUACUUUCAGCGGGGAGGAAGGGAGUAAAGUUAAUACCUUUGCUCAUUGACGUCACCCGCAGAAGAAGCACCGGCUAACUCCGUG
This 490-nucleotide ribosomal RNA is filed under the name uncultured bacterium. RNAcentral's name for it is "partial 16S ribosomal RNA". It matches the Rfam family "Bacterial small subunit ribosomal RNA", at positions 30 to 507 of the family's 1533-position model. The record is from RNAcentral.